This 482-nucleotide ribosomal RNA is filed under the name uncultured bacterium. Its description in RNAcentral is "partial 16S ribosomal RNA". It matches the Rfam family "Bacterial small subunit ribosomal RNA", at positions 30 to 507 of the family's 1533-position model. The record is from RNAcentral.
AUUGAACGCUGGCGGCAUGCUUUACACAUGCAAGUCGAACGGUAACAGGCCGCAAGGUGCUGACGAGUGGCGAACGGGUGAGUAAUGCAUCGGAACGUGCCCCGUCGUGGGGGAUAACUACUCGAAAGAGUAGCUAAUACCGCAUACGAUCUAUGGAUGAAAGCGGGGGACCGUAAGGCCUCGCGCGAUUGGAGCGGCCGAUGUCAGAUUAGGUAGUUGGUGGGCUAAAGGCUCACCAAGCCAACGAUCUGUAGCUGGUCUGAGAGGACAACCAGCCACACUGGGACUGAGACACGGCCCAGACUCCUACGGGAGGCAGCAGUGGGGAAUUUUGGACAAUGGGCGCAAGCCUGAUCCAGCAAUGCCGCGUGCAGGAAGAAGGCCUUCGGGUUGUAAACUGCUUUUGUACGGAACGAAACGGCUCUGGUUAAUACCCGGGGCUAAUGACGGUACCGUAAGAAUAAGCACCGGCUAACUACGUG